This 73-nucleotide transfer RNA is filed under the name Gekko japonicus. RNAcentral's name for it is "tRNA-Gln". It matches the Rfam family "tRNA". From Rfam's summary of the family: Transfer RNA (tRNA) molecules are approximately 80 nucleotides in length. Their secondary structure includes four short double-helical elements and three loops (D, anti-codon, and T loops). Further hydrogen bonds mediate the characteristic L-shaped molecular structure. tRNAs have two regions of fundamental functional importance: the anti-codon, which is responsible for specific mRNA codon recognition, and the 3' end, to which the tRNAs corresponding amino acid is attached (by aminoacyl-tRNA synthetases). tRNAs cope with the degeneracy of the genetic code in two manners: having more than one tRNA (with a specific anti-codon) for a particular amino acid; and 'wobble' base-pairing, i.e. permitting non-standard base-pairing at the 3rd anti-codon position. The record is from RNAcentral. Lineage: Eukaryota; Metazoa; Chordata; Lepidosauria; Squamata; Gekkonidae.
UAGAGAUUCGUAUAAUUUGGUAGUACGCAAGGUUUUGAGCCUUGAGGUUUGGGUUCGUGGCCCAGAUGUCUAG